Molecule: ribosomal RNA, 402 nt
Filed under: uncultured bacterium
Lineage: Bacteria
Description: bacterial SSU rRNA
Rfam family: Bacterial small subunit ribosomal RNA
Source: RNAcentral
UGGGGAAUCUUGCACAAUGGGGGCAACCCUGAUGCAGCGACGCCGCGUGAGCGACGAAGCCCUUCGGGGCGUAAAGCUCUUUCGACCGGAACGAUAAUGACGGUACCGGGAGAAGAAGCUGCGGCUAACUACGUGCCAGCAGCCGCGGUAAUACGUAGGCAGCAAGCGUUGUUCGGAGUUACUGGGCGUAAAGAGUGCGUAGGCGGUUUUCUAAGUUCGGUGUGAAAUCUCCCGGCUUAACUGGGAGGGUGCGCCGAAGACUGGGAAGCUGGAGUGUGGGAAAGGCAGGCGGAAUUCCUGGUGUAGCGGUGAAAUGCGUAGAUAUCAGGAGGAACACCGGCGGUGUAGACGGCUUGCUAGACCAUAACUGACGCUGAGGCACGAAAGCGUGGGUAGCAAACA